GCUCAGGAUGAACGCUAGCUACAGGCUUAACACAUGCAAGUCGAGGGGUAGCAGGGUAGCAAUACCGCUGACGACCGGCGCACGGGUGAGUAACACGUAUCCAACCUUCCCAUAACUCGGGGAUAGCCUUUCGAAAGAAAGAUUAAUACCCGAUAGCACUUUAUUAAGGCAUCUUAAGAAAGUUAAAGAUUUAUUGGUUAUGGAUGGGGAUGCGUUCCAUUAGAUAGUUGGUGAGGUAACGGCUCACCAAGUCUUCGAUGGAUAGGGGUUCUGAGAGGAAGGUCCCCCACAUUGGUACUGAGACACGGACCAAACUCCUACGGGAGGCAGCAGUGAGGAAUAUUGGUCAAUGGGCGAGAGCCUGAACCAGCCA
RNAcentral lists this ribosomal RNA (373 nucleotides) under uncultured Bacteroidales bacterium. Its description in RNAcentral is "bacterial SSU rRNA". It matches the Rfam family "Bacterial small subunit ribosomal RNA", at positions 22 to 394 of the family's 1533-position model. Lineage: Bacteria; Pseudomonadati; Bacteroidota; Bacteroidia; Bacteroidales. The record is from RNAcentral.